This is a long non-coding RNA of Mauremys reevesii (Reeves's turtle), 689 nucleotides long. RefSeq lists it as uncharacterized. The transcript is spliced from 3 exons. The record is from RefSeq and is a predicted model, not a curated record. NCBI's taxonomy places the organism in Eukaryota, Metazoa, Chordata, Testudines, Geoemydidae.
AACUUUUUAAAAUGGGGGGACUUCCCUUUGUUUUUUUGUGUUGUGCCCUUCCAGGAAAGAGGGGAACAGAGGGCAGCAGAAAUGCUGUGUAAGGCUUGAAGCAGAUAGGUUCUGAAUCUGUGUCCAUCACUGUGGUAUCUGAAUGCAGGAUUGGAAAUGCACAAUGUGGUCCCAUCUCAAUAUUGUGUCAAACAGGAACCUUAAUGUGAACACAUUCAAACUUUUGGAAAGAAUUCUUCUGCUCUAUUGUUGAUGUGACAUUACAAGCCCUGUCGUUGCUGGUUCAGGCUUGUGUGUCAUGCACAGACACAUCAACAGAUCCUGUUGACUAACAAAUUCUCACUCAGACAUUCACAUAAAUUAUAAAUCUCAAGAUAUAAGAUGCUUUAGGCAUCUGUCUUGCUUCAGCUUUAAGCAUGUGCAUAUUUAUAUAGGAAAGACUGAAAGUUAAAGAAAGUUGCAAUUGCUGGACAAGAGCAGUCAGCUUUGCUUUCCACUAACCUAUAGCCAAAGGUAUAAUUAAGUAUGGUAGCCUGCUUAUAAAUGUCUCCCUCUUACGUCCUGUUCACUGUGGGAUUUUGGUGCACACAAGAAAAUGAGUGAGCAAGAAAAAGAAAUUGAUGAGGUUAGCACAGGAUUUAUAUUCAUGGAUCUAUUUUGGAGCAAGGUACUAUUCAGUGUGAAUAAGG